Molecule: ribosomal RNA, 508 nt
Filed under: uncultured bacterium
Lineage: Bacteria
Description: partial 16S ribosomal RNA
Rfam family: Bacterial small subunit ribosomal RNA
Source: RNAcentral
GACGAACGCUGGCGGCGUGCUUAACACAUGCAAGUCGAACGGGAUAAUUUGAGAGCUUGCUCUUAGAGAAUCUAGUGGCAAACGGGUGAGUAACACGUAGACAACCUGCCGACAGGAUGGGGACAACAUUCCGAAAGGAAUGCUAAUACCGAAUGAAGCGGAGGAGAGGCAUCUCUCCUCCGUGAAAGAUGGCCUCUGAAUAUGCUAUCACCUGUCGAUGGGUCUGCGUCUGAUUAGCUAGUUGGUGAGGUAACGGCUCACCAAGGCGACGAUCAGUAGCCUGUCUGAGAGGAUGAACGGCCACAUUGGGACUGAGACACGGCCCAGACUCCUACGGGAGGCAGCAGUGGUGAAUCUUCCGCAAUGGGCGCAAGCCUGACGGAGCAACGCCGCGUGAGUGAAGAAGGUCUUCGGAUCGUAAAGCUCUGUUGACGGGGACGAACGUGCGAAGGGUGAAUAAUCCUUUGUAAUGACGGUACCUGUCGAGGAAGCCACGGCUAACUACGUG